UGGGCUUGACAUCCCGGGAAUUCCGUGGAAACAUGGAAGUGCCCUUCGGGGAACCUGGAGACAGGUGCUGCAUGGCUGUCGUCAGCUCGUGUCGUGAGAUGUUGGGUUAAGUCCCGCAACGAGCGCAACCCUCGUCACUAGUUACUAACGGUUCGGCCGAGGACUCUAGUGAGACUGCCUUCGUAAGGAGGAGGAAGGUGAGGACGACGUCAAGUCAUCAUGGCCCUUACGGCUAGGGCAACACACGUGCUACAAUGGCCAGGACAGUGAGACGCGAUACCGCGAGGUGGAGCAAAUCUAUAAACCUGGUCUCAGUUCGGAUUGUAGUCUGCAACUCGACUACAUGAAGCUGGAAUCACUAGUAAUCGUAGAUCAGCUAUGCUACGGUGAAUACGUUCCCGGGUCU
Molecule: ribosomal RNA, 406 nt
Filed under: uncultured bacterium
Lineage: Bacteria
Description: bacterial SSU rRNA
Rfam family: Bacterial small subunit ribosomal RNA
Source: RNAcentral